UUUUACCCAGCCAUAAAUAUCUCUGGCAGUCUUAACAGAGCAGGUCAAAGAGGCAGAGGAAGAUGUGAAGAACAAAGUCUUUCCUCAACUCUCACUCCUGAAAAGAUAGUGAAGAACGGAGAUCUGGCAUCCACCUUGCUUCCUUUCUAAGGGGAAAGAGCUUUGGACUCUGAUUCACCACACCUGUUUCCAGUUUCAUUUCGGUUGCAAACAAACUGUGUAAUCUCGUGCAACAUGGCCAACCUGCAAAGCUCAGAUCUCCCCUCAGUCAAGGAACACUUUACACUCUUCCCACACAAUUUUUCCCAGGACAUAAAGGUGUUGGGGAAAAGAAGCAUAAAAAAUAUUUGUAAAAUGGUAAUAGGAACAACUUCAAAGGACUGUAGCACGGAAUAGAAACCCCAAGCAACUUGUCUUUGUUCAAGAUCAUUCUCUGCUACUCCAGGCAUGUCCUUACCAAAUCAAACAAUUGCCUUCUUCAACAUCAGGCCCCCACCAACUUCCUGCCUCAACUAUCACCACCACCCCCUUUACCAGCUGCAUGUCUCACCCCUUCCUUUGGAUUCCUGUGAGCUUCCAACACACUGCACCAACCCCUUUAGGGCAUGGUUCACACUGUUUUGUAAUUUGCCCCAUUAACUUGUCUGUCUCCUCUACUAGAUUGUAUCCCAUGUAUUCAUCUUUGUAUCUCCAAUGUCUACUGUAAUUGUCUCCUGAUAGGCGAGAAUCU
Choloepus didactylus (southern two-toed sloth) is the source of this 730-nucleotide long non-coding RNA. RefSeq lists it as uncharacterized. The record is from RefSeq and is a predicted model, not a curated record. Lineage: Eukaryota; Metazoa; Chordata; Mammalia; Pilosa; Megalonychidae. The transcript is spliced from 4 exons.